GAGAUCGAAAAUGGACUGAGGCUAAUGG
This 28-nucleotide small RNA is filed under the name Bombyx mori (domestic silkworm). Its description in RNAcentral is "ovarian small RNA-15722". Lineage: Eukaryota; Metazoa; Arthropoda; Insecta; Lepidoptera; Bombycidae. The record is from RNAcentral.